CUUAUUCGCGUGUGGAGCGUUUUACCUUCAGAGUUGAUUCAGUCGUCCGUAGUCCGUAGUAUAGUUUCAUUCGAUAGACACUUAAAUAAAGCCUUAACAAGAGCUUAAUUUUCACUUAAGAACUUCCGUCUGUUCUUAGCUGACAAUAGCUACGUUAUGUACUGCAAGCCUAUUCAGGGGACGCGGCCGCUUGCUAUCAAAGAUGAUUUAAUAAAAUUCAAUGAUAAUAGCAGCCAUGGGGUUGAGAAACAAGAAGAGCCCCAACCCGACCGAAGUAGUAGGGUCAGGCAUGAUUCGCUGCAGCAAACACACGGCAUCCACUGAAUAGUUUGUUUAGACAUAACAACUUAUUUGGGCAAAUAGCCUUAUCAAUCCACCGCCGAGGCAAUGCCGUCAUAAUCUAAUCAGAUUUGAUAAUGGUCAAUAAAAUAAUGUGUGAUCAGAUCAGUAACUCAAUAUUAUUUGAUAAGUUAAUAUGCAAUAUAUGAUAUGCAGAUA
This is a long non-coding RNA of Hermetia illucens (black soldier fly), 498 nucleotides long. RefSeq lists it as uncharacterized. NCBI's taxonomy places the organism in Eukaryota, Metazoa, Arthropoda, Insecta, Diptera, Stratiomyidae. The record is from RefSeq and is a predicted model, not a curated record. The transcript is spliced from 3 exons.